This 108-nucleotide ribosomal RNA is filed under the name Aporhodopirellula sallentina SM41. The record is from RNAcentral. Lineage: Bacteria; Pseudomonadati; Planctomycetota; Planctomycetia; Pirellulales; Pirellulaceae.
UGGCGACUAUAUCGCAAAGGUUAUACCUGUUCCCUUCCCGAACACAGAAGUCAAGCUUUGCGAGCCGAUGAUAGUGCCCACCAGCGUGAAAGUAGGUAUUGCCAGAUU